CCAAUCAUCUUCUUUUUUUUUUCUUCUUCUUCUCCCAAAAGCCCUGCACUAAGUAGUUGUAUAUUCUAGUUGUAGGUCCCUCUGGUUGUGCCAUGUGGGACACCGCCUCAGCAUGGCCUGACGAGUGGUGCCAUGUCUACGCCGAGGAUCCCAAUCGGGGAAAACCUGAGCUGCCAAAGCAGAGCGCACGAACUUCACCACUCCGUCAUGGGGCCAGCCCCCAAGGGCAGUUCUGAUUGGAUAUCUUAAUGAAUCUUAUCUAGAAAAGGCGACGAAUAGAAAGAGGCUAAAGAGUGGAAGAGAAGUCCCCAUGAACGGAAGGUGAAGCACUUCCAUUUUGUCCUCACCACAAACGUCUCCAGUGUGUAAAGUCAUUACUCCCAGCUCACAGGAGAAGAAACCCAAGCUUAGGACGGUCAAGGAGCUUGUCCACAGACGCACGGCCAAUGGUCCGACCUGGAGCCUGUGCUCUCAGCCUCUCCCCCAGCUUCCCUCUCUCCUUGAGCUUCUCAAGGCCUUCACUUGCUUAUCUGAAACCUGGGAAGAAAGCUGGCACCUUCUUCCCUCCGGUGGCCUGCGGCUCAGCCGGCGGGAUGCGCUGUUGGCUGUGAGCGGCCUUGCAGAGACGGGGGCAUCCUCCCUGCUGUGGCUUCGAGGGCAGCGUCAUCACAAAGGCCCUUAGCACGGACGCUUGAGAAAGGCUGAUUCCAGCGCGAAGUGAGGACAGUCUCUCCACAGCAAGUGCUCCUGAGAGAGCUGGGCUCCCUCUGAGGUGGGAAGCCG
This 783-nucleotide long non-coding RNA is filed under the name Equus asinus (donkey). RNAcentral describes it as "lncRNA (ENSEASG00005037769.1)". Lineage: Eukaryota; Metazoa; Chordata; Mammalia; Perissodactyla; Equidae. The record is from RNAcentral.